CUCGUAGGCGGUUUGUCGCGUUGUUCGUGAAGACUCACAGCUUAACUGUGGGCGUGCGGGCGAUACGGGCAGACUAGAGUACUGCAGGGGAGACUGGAAUUCCUGGUGUAGCGGUGGAAUGCGCAGAUAUCAGGAGGAACACCGGUGGCGAAGGCGGGUCUCUGGGCAGUAACUGACGCUGAGGAGCGAAAGCGUGGGGAGCGAACA
RNAcentral lists this ribosomal RNA (207 nucleotides) under uncultured bacterium. Its description in RNAcentral is "partial 16S ribosomal RNA". It matches the Rfam family "Bacterial small subunit ribosomal RNA", at positions 568 to 774 of the family's 1533-position model. The record is from RNAcentral.